AUUGAACGCUGGCGGCAGGCCUAACACAUGCAAGUCGAACGGUAACAGGAAGCAGCUUGCUGCUUUGCUGACGAGUGGCGGACGGGUGAGUAAUGUCUGGGAAACUGCCUGAUGGAGGGGGAUAACUACUGGAAACGGUAGCUAAUACCGCAUAAUGUCGCAAGACCAAAGAGGGGGACCUUCGGGCCUCUUGCCAUCGGAUGUUCCCAGAUGGGAUUAGCUAGUAGGUGGGGUAAAGGCUCACCUAGGCGACGAUCCCUAGCUGGUCUGAGAGGAUGACCAGCCACACUGGAACUGAGACACGGUCCAGACUCCUACGGGAGGCAGCAGUGGGGAAUAUUGCACAAUGGGCGCAAGCCUGAUGCAGCCAUGCCGCGUGUAUGAAGAAGGCCUUCGGGUUGUAAAGUACUUUCAGCGGGGAGGAAGGGAGUAAAGUUAAUACCUUUGCUCAUUGACGUUACCCGCAGAAGAAGCACCGGCUAACUCCGUG
RNAcentral lists this ribosomal RNA (490 nucleotides) under uncultured bacterium. RNAcentral describes it as "partial 16S ribosomal RNA". It matches the Rfam family "Bacterial small subunit ribosomal RNA", at positions 30 to 507 of the family's 1533-position model. The record is from RNAcentral.